Molecule: long non-coding RNA, 566 nt
Filed under: Equus caballus (horse)
Lineage: Eukaryota; Metazoa; Chordata; Mammalia; Perissodactyla; Equidae
Description: lncRNA (ENSECAG00000053294.1)
Source: RNAcentral
CAACACGUUAGAAUCCUCCAUUUUGUCCCUCCUAUUGGCAAUGCACAAGUGUGGCUUGGAAUGAAGGGACUGUGUGGUUGCCAGGGUGACCCCAAGGACCAGUUAUUGCACAUAUGGUUCUGCAAAUGGAAGUUCCUGAGUCGGACCAAUGGCAGGAAAGAAGAUUUGCGAACUCGCCCAGGGCAAAGCUGGUGUAAAGUUUUAGAUAAAUGUUCAGAAUUAACCACCUCCUGUUACUCCUAAGUCUCCACAGAUACCAUGUUUUUAAGCCUCCUUUGGGACAAUCACUGGCUGGAAACACCAGAGCAAAAGAGAGGCAAAAUAUCGAUAGAUAUCAGAUGUAGGAUCAAGUUUAACCCCAUUCAAUAUCAGUAAUAUCAUUGUCUUCUUUGCAAUAUACUUCCUCAUGGACUGUACCAGCUACAACUGGGUAUCUUGGGUUUUCUAGGAGGAAGCACCAAUAAAUGAAAGAUUAGGCCCUUGGAGAACAUAAAAAAUGAAUGAUCCAAACAAUAGCCACAACAGCCCUAGAUGUAGUGGAAAAUUGCAGUCCGAUACGCGAGGAC